CUAAGGAUGAUCCUUCAGCGAGCCUCAAGCUCACUAUCGGAUCGUUUUAGAAACAUCAGUGGCCAACAGAUCGCCAGAUCGUUGAGCUGCAUUGGCGGGAUUUCGCCGUCUUCGUUUCUCUUUCUUCGCGGACGAACACGCGCUGGGUCUGCUUGAGCAGAACCAUGGUCCUUGACGGGAUAUGCGUUAGGGGCUUGUAGCUCAGUUGGUUAGAGCGCGCGCUUGAUAAGCGUGAGGUCGGAAGUUCAAGUCUUCCCAGGCCCACCACUUUCAUCGAGUGAGCAUUCGUCUUCUGGUUACGGGGCCAUAGCUCAGCUGGGAGAGCGCGUGCUUUGCAAGCAUGAGGUCGUCGGUUCGAUCCCGUCUGGCUCCACCAGAUGGUUUGAUCACCGAGAUCUUGUACCGUCGUCCGCGAAACAUCACUUCGCAUCCUGCUAGUCUGGAUAGACAGCAAGAUGCGUGUUUUCUGACAUCGUAAAGAGGAGAUCGAUCCGAGUUGGGUCGUGCAGCAAAUUGUUGCGCGAGCCUUCAUUAUCUCCGGAUCAUUUUCGGCGCUCGCGUCCGACCGCAAGGUUGGCUGCGAGUUGUAAAAUGAUCCUUUUAGCGAAGCUUGACCGCCUCGCUAUCGGAACGAUCUUACGAAGCAAGCUGGUCUUUCUAGUCAAUGUCCGGCUGCACAUAGCGUUCAUCGAGGGCGCGUGCCGUAAGGCAAUUGUGCAGACAACAUUCUGCCGAGUGUGUGGACAUUGAUAAUGAGAGC
This 760-nucleotide transfer RNA is filed under the name Bradyrhizobium sp. Its description in RNAcentral is "16S-23S ribosomal RNA intergenic spacer". The stretch from base 191 to 264 matches the Rfam family "tRNA". Lineage: Bacteria; Pseudomonadati; Pseudomonadota; Alphaproteobacteria; Hyphomicrobiales; Nitrobacteraceae. The record is from RNAcentral.